Rosa rugosa (rugosa rose) is the source of this 3536-nucleotide long non-coding RNA. RefSeq lists it as uncharacterized. NCBI's taxonomy places the organism in Eukaryota, Viridiplantae, Streptophyta, Magnoliopsida, Rosales, Rosaceae. The record is from RefSeq and is a predicted model, not a curated record. The transcript has 5 exons.
CCCCCCCCCCCCCCACAUCCUUUAUCACGACUAUUCUCUGUGCAUCCAAUUUCACAACGAAAAAAGAAAACCCUAGAUUCUUGGGGAAAAUCAGAGUGAAUGUCAAUGACAUCUUGGGUUUGCUCAAAACCAUGCAUCCCUUGUAGCGGGAGAAGAAAUCGCGGCCUCGCAAGGGGUCUCAGUGCAAACCCUAUGGCAUUUCACGAGGUCUAUACCCUAAUUGGCGGUGUGCAGUCGCAGCUCAGAAAAGGCCCUCCAACUAGUUGAGAAGGUUAUUAGGUUUUCUGAUAGUUCAUUUACUCAUAUUUGUAAUGCAAAAGAUAUUUGUAUAUGGCAGUAUGCAUUCUUGAGCUGUCUCGGAUUUGAAUUGCUAGUGGUAGGUGUCGGCAAUGCCUUCCUUUUACAAAUUCUGCACGGAAUGAUGACUUACAACUUUUACCAUUGGAUUAGAGUUGUCAACGGUGUCCUGCCUAUUGGUGACUAUUCCUUUGCUAAGAAUAACAAGGUAUCUAAGAAUAACAAGGUAUGUACAGAGAAACCCCAACUGUGCUCGGAAGUGGCCUCUCUUCUUAUAGAAUUGGAAUUCUUACUUUGUAUCAUCUCAUCUGUGAAUAUCUAGCUUCUUAUUUGUUUAUCUAUUCUUUUAAUUUUUUGUGUAUUUGUGGAUGUUAUCAAAUACACUAACAAAGAGUCUGAGAAGCAUUGACUGAUCUUGUAGCCUGUAGGUAUCAAAUAAGUAUUUUAUUUGUAUGAGCGUGUUUAAUUAAUAGUGAGAGUGCUUUUGGAUUCAUUGGCUUAUUUUCUAAUAUUAUUUCUUAUCUACAAUAUAAUGCCAAAGUUGACUACUACAAAACCUUGACGGGAAGUGUGUAUUGUUAAACCUGGAGGUAUCCAAUUGAAGGUAAAUAUGUGUUUAUCAAAUUAAUUCUUGUACGUAUAUAUAGAUUUUUUUUUCCUUCCUCUUGCACUACUGUCUUUGUUCAUAAGAGUGAAAAAUGUUCAAAUUUCUUCUUCCACUGCUGCCUUUGCACUAGUAAUUAAGCUAGAAUCUAUACCAACAAGGUAUCUAUUGCUGUAUGUAUUUAUAUUGACUGUUGCCGGUGUCCAUCUUUUUUAGCCAAAUUCUAUAUCGUUUUCGUGAUAUAGCCAGCAAGGUAUCAGUGAUUUCAAUUAUAGUUUGUUGAUGGAUUUUUAUUUUUUUUUGUCACUCAACUCUUAACUUCUGGACAGGUGGCCUGUGCUAAUUCAAAGAAGUUGCGGUUUUUCCAUAACUACUGAUAAUUCUGGAAAUGAGAAUUCUCUUUUCUUUUUUCAUCAUAGGAUGGUGGACAAGUAUUAAUGAAAUAAAUAGGAUUAAAUUAUGUUUAGUCCCUGUACUUUGUCCCUCUCAUCGUUUCAGUCCCUGACAUUCUAAUUUAAUCUAAAAACUCCCUGACCUCACAAUUUCCCUCCAAUAGGUCCCUCCCGCGUCAAAUUAAGAAUUGGCCUUAUCUGAAAUGUCCAAUAUACCCCUUUGUUAUUUUUUUUUCUUUUUUCCUUUUUAAUUUCUUUUUUUCCUUUUUUUUCCUUUUCCUUUUUAAUUUCUUUUUUGCCUUUUUUUCUUUUUUCUUUUUCCUUUUUAAUGACCAUCGUAUCCUGCUGCAUCGGUAGCGCCAUGUCGGCGAACCAAUCCAGAUCAACCCGAAACCCCAAUUCUUGUUCUCCACGCCGGCGGCCCUUUUUCUUUUCUAUUUUCUUUUUCCUUUUUAAUUUCUUUUUUCCUUUUCCUUUUUUUAUUUUUCUUUUUUCCUUUUUAAUUUCUUUUUCCCAUUUUCUUUUCUUUUUUCCUUUUUCUUUUUCCUUUUUCCUUUUUAAUGACCAUCGUAUCCUGCUGCAUCGGUAGCGCCACAUCAGCGAACUAAUCCAGAUUGACCUGAAACCCCAAUUAUUGUUCUCCAAGCCGGCGGCCAUUUUUCUUUUCCAUCACUAUUCUUCUUCUUCACUUCUGGUUUUGGUCAACUUGGCCAUCAAAAACCAUCAUUUCAACCAGACCCAAUAUCUAAAUCACCAUUUUGAGCAAGACCCAAAAACCUCAGGGUCUGAAAAAAUGGUAGUUUUCAGUGAAAAGUUUCCAAUUUGAGGCUUGAUGUGGAGAGAGAAAGUGAGAUUUGAGUGGGAGAGAGAGAAGUAGGCUGUGAAAACAAGAGUGGAGUGGUUUAGCGGCGAAUUUCCAAGCUGAUUGGGAUCUGCUUGUGUUUGGGAGAUGGUGUCGGCGACGAUGGAGGCGAGGGCGGAUCCCAAUAGAGGGAGAUGGCUUCAGAGAAGGUGAAGAAGUGAUCGAUCAGCUCCUAGCCUCUUGCUUUUGCUCGAUGUCCAUCUCUGCACCGCCAAGCUAGGUCUUUGUUGGGUUUGGUUUCAAUUUGGGGAGAGAAACAGAUGGGUUGUGGAGUUUGAUUGGAAUGGAAUUGGUGGGUUGAGGAAGGAGAAAGUAGGCAAAACGAAAAGAAAAAAAAAGGAAAAAAAGAAAUUAAAAAGGAACAAGAAAAAAAGAAGAAAAAGGAAAAAAUAAAUUAAAAAGGAAAAAAAGAAAAAAAAAAGGAAAAAAAAUUAAAAAGGAAGAAGAAAAAAAGAAAAAAAAAAAAGGAGAAAAAGAAAUUAAAAAGGAAAAAGAAAUAACAGAGGGGUAUAUUUGACAUUUCACUUAAGACCAACUCCUAAUUUGACGCGGGAGGGACCAAUCAGAUAGAAAUUUUGACGUUAGGGACUUUUCAUAUUAAUUGAGAAUGUCAGGGACUGAAACGAAAAAAAAGUCAUAGUACAGGGACUAAACAUAAUUUAAUCCAAAUAAAUAUACAAAAACUUCAUAGUGUCCCAUAGUUGCGGUUCACAACUCAUGCUUAGUGGAAGAUUUCAUUUGGGUACUAUAAAGUGCUAAAUAACCUUGCCUCAUUAAAUGGCAUGUCCCAUUAUCAGCCUUUGGGCUUCUUUUCAACAGCUUGGAUUCAAAUCCAAGCACAGCCAGGCAAUGCCUUUUUUUAGCUGAGCAUCCAUGUCCUUUGUUAAUAUACCACCAUGUUGAAUUUAUUUUGAAUAUGUUAUGAGAAUAUUGACUGCCAUGGCCAAUUUAGUUUGUGCGUAUCCUGUAAUACUGAAAAACCUGCUUACUUGCCGAUUGAUACUGUCUUGCAAGUGCAUGUAUACAUCAAGUGGCGUACGACUAAAAAUUGGCCUGAAACUGAUGAUGCUGUUGAAAAGGUCCAUGAAGGUGCAUUUGGUUCUGUUGGUGAUGAUCAGUCACUUCGUAAUUACUUGGAAUCUCUGGGACAACAUCAGUAACAAGCAUGUCUGUAGUUGGUCAUCAAAGAGAGAGAGGUAAGGCUUUAAAGCAUCAAUUCAAGCUUGGUGAGCAACUUGGUAAGCUUCUGUUUCUUCCUAGUCAGGCUUGGUGAGCAGCUUCUGUUUAAUCUUGAAGUCAAGGAAGAUAACUACCCUGUAAAGCUCAAUUAUCUUGUAAACUUCUUUAGAAGCUUCAUUUCUUUUGUAACAUUCAUGAGAAA